Molecule: ribosomal RNA, 321 nt
Filed under: Triticum aestivum (bread wheat)
Lineage: Eukaryota; Viridiplantae; Streptophyta; Magnoliopsida; Poales; Poaceae
Description: partial small subunit ribosomal RNA
Source: RNAcentral
AUGGUAGCACAUGAGUUUAUUGUUGACAAUGAUGAUAAGAUGCUUCUGUAUAACCUGAGAUUUAAUAAGAAACACAAUGAGAUUAUUAUCCUGCCUGCACCUUAUUUGUUUGAUUUAACUGCAGGCCAUUACCUCGUCUUCCCAUCGGCCGCGUACGCGCACGGAGGCCAGACAUCAGCUCCAGAGCCUAAGCCGGAACCACCACUGGACCCUUAUCUUCCAUCAUCUUAUCAGUGGGACCCGGAGCAGAUUGCCAGCCAGUGGCAGUACGAUGACACUCCUCAGUACACCGGGGAGAGUAGCCGCGAUCCAUGGCAAUAG